RNAcentral lists this long non-coding RNA (5801 nucleotides) under Brassica napus (rape). Its description in RNAcentral is "long non-coding RNA (BNAP_LNC002690)". Lineage: Eukaryota; Viridiplantae; Streptophyta; Magnoliopsida; Brassicales; Brassicaceae. The record is from RNAcentral.
UCUCCUCGACGAGCCAGAUGGUAGCUUCAGCUUUAGAAGGAUGAAUGAUCAAAUCCAAGCUCUGAUCUUCAGAAUCACUACCCAGUCUCGCUUGAUCCCAACGCUGUAACAAAGCGUUCGUGAGGUAAUGCAAAGGCUGACCAUAAAGCUCCUUGAUCGACAUGGCUAACCCGACCCAGCUCGUGAACGGGAUCAAAGAACCGCGGCUAGUCGGAAGAGGAAGCUCCUUCAUGUAGCCUUGAUACGUCUCUGCUCUUAUCAGCAGCGAAACUGAUGCAAAAGAUUGAAACUUUUUGGGUCAGGAACGGUGGAAAAGGAGAGAGACAAUGAAUCACAUUACCUUCGUCUUCGGCGACCGUAUGAGGUCUAUCGGUCGGCAAAAAGCCAUCGCCGUCGCUGAUCUCAGCUUCGACAUCAGAGGAGCUAGAGUCGUCUGAUGCUCGUGGAUUCAUAGUCACGUCACUCUGCAUGGUCCCAAACGAGCAGUGAGAUUAUCUGAGAACGUACGACGGCACCACGAGGCCCCUUAACGCUAGGGCUUUUAAGGGAAGAAGACGAAGAGGGAUAACUUGUACACGUGUCAGUUAAAACGUCACUUGUUGUUGUCAGUUGUGUUGUGUGAGGUAACCAAAAAUCCAAAAUUGAAAUUGAAUUAAAGUAAACCGAUAAACCGGAUUUAACCCGGCGUAAACCAGCAAGCUUUAAUCGUAUUUGAUACAAGCUUAACCCUUUUCAACUUGUUUCUUCUUCUUCUUCCUCUCGCGCCGUCGUUCAUUCUCUCUAAAACACUUCUCAAGCAAAGUUGUUCAAUCUUCUUCGUUUCGUUGUUAACUGUAAGCUUUCUUCUUCUCCUUGAAUGGUUUAUUUCAAUCUCAGAGCAUUAUCGUCUUAGUAAUAGACUGUAAUAGACGUAACCUAGGUUAAUAAAGCUAUAAUAUUUCGUCCUUAGAUUGUGAUAUUGAAGGUCACAGAACCAGUUAGAUACAAACCCUAAUUCAAAGAUUGGUCCUUUAUUGAGUUUUCAGCUUCUACCAGUUGGUUAAGAGUCUGAAUGUCAAAACCCUAGUUCAAAGAUUGAACCUUUAUUGAUUAAGAGUCUGAAUAUGUGGAGUAGCUUGACUUUGAUUGAUUUAUUGUUGUUGUUAUGUUCCUGUCUUGAUUCUGAACCUGAUUGUUUUUAAUCAAAUUUGGAGCAGAUGUCGUUUGAAGAUGAUUUUGUGGAAGACGAUGAGAUGAACAUGAUUGAUGAAGACGUAGCAUCUGACUCCGAAGCAGAGUCUUUGUCAGAUUCCGAUUCAGAAAACGCGAUCACUGAGAAGCUACCUGAGCCGACAAAGACUGCUGUCUACAACAGAGAUGGGCUUCUUGAUAAGCUUCAAGACAUAAGCUGGCCAGAAGAUGCUGAUUGGACUCAUAAGCUCACCGUCGAGAUUGAGCAAGGACAAGCCGUUGAUGUAAACGACGACCUCGCUAGAGAGAUGGCCUUCUACACUCAAGCACUCGAAGGGACGAGGCAGGCUUUCGAGAAGCUCCAGGAGAUGGGACUGCCUUUCCUAAGGCCGGCGGAUUACUACGCGGAGAUGGUGAAAUCAGAUACGCACAUGGAGAAGGUGAAGUCUAAGCUUCUGUACGAGAAGAAACAGAUGGAGGAGUCUGAGGAGAGGAGGAAAGCGAGGGAUAACAAGAAGAUGGCUAAGGAAGUACAGUCUCAGAAGAUGAAGGAGCGCGCUAAGCAGAAGAAGGAUGAGAUUGAGUCUGUCAAGAAGUGGAGGAAACAGAGGCAGCAGAGCGGGUUUAGUGAGAAAGGAGCAGGAGAGCUUGAUCUUGAGUUUGGAAAUGGGAAGAGUUUCCAGAGAGGAGGUGGGAAGAAGAGGCCGGGUGUGUCUCCUGGUGAUCGAUCGGGAGGUAAAGGGAAGCCUACUUCGAGGAUGAACAAUAAGAAGAGGGAGUUUAGGGACUCCAAGUUUGGUCAUGGUGGAAGGAAAGGGUUGAGCAAGCAGAACACUGCAGAGACGACGAAUGAUUUCAAAGGAGGGUUUCGUGGAGGCAAAGCUGGUGGAAACAAGAGACAGAAGAGAUAAACAAGGUUUGGUUAUCUAAACUCAUCUACAGUUUCAUCACUACAAACUAUUUUGUCAUCUUGGAUUAUGUUUUGAGAGAAUGUUUCUUUGAAUUUUUGUAAGGGUCUUCGGACCAAUAUAUUUUAGUUAAGAGUGUUGUACUAAAUGAUUACUUGAAUCAACAAAGCUCAACGUGUUUUCAAAGAAGCUAGAGGUGGCAAGUUGUUUCUUCUUCCAAAAUUCAUCAUUGAAGAAAUAUGAUUUUAACUAAUUAAAAGAUGAUGAUUAUUGAAGUUUUAGGCCGUGGAUUUAAAGUCAAACUCGAGCCCUCUCUCUCUUUUUUUUAGAAGAAUCCACCAAUAUAGAUUCUGUUUUUGCUUUUCCUUCGCCUCCUGUGCGGCCCGACUCCCUCUUCCUCUUGCUUACUAUUUGUAUGAAUCUUGGGAAGUUUUAUGCCUCCUGUGCACUUUUUCAAGAUGAUGUGAAAAAUGAAAAAUCAGUUUUCAUAUAGUUUUAUGGACCAAGCUGGUGUAUUGUUAUCAUUUUGGUUGAGUUUAGAGUUUAUUUAGUGAGGAUUGAUCUCCAUGGAAUUCAUAAUAACGUUGCUUAAUCUAUAAAGGUAACAAAUCAAUUCAGUCCCCUAUCUAAUUCGUCAGAACAAGUCCAUAUAUACAGUUUGUCAGUUUCACUACAAUGGCUUAUUACUAUAUGUUGUAUAGCACCAAAGAUAAUAAAUUUGUGAUCUGGAGUCCUGUUGUUCAGGUGAAAUAAGGUAAGAUUAAGCAUAGAAAAGGGUACAAAAUUCGAUUUCUCAUGCAACCAGUACAAAAUCUUGAGUGUGGCCACAUGCUUUUUUUUUCAUGUUAAAAAAAGUAUAGUAAUAUAUUUGUGGGCUAAGGCCGGAAAUAAAGAGAUUGAUGGGCCAAAUAAUGAAAGCCUAUAGAGGAAUUUAGUAAAUCACUUCACCCUUCUUCGAGACGCCGGAGAAAAGCAAAAUAGGAAUCGAACCUGAGCUAAACAGAUCUUUAAGCAUAGAAGAAGAUGGAGUGCGUAUUCGGUCUGGUUGGGAAAGGAUUCGCCAUCGUGGCGGCGGAUACAUCGGCGGUGCACAGUAUCCUUCUCCACAAAAACAACGAGGACAAGAUCAUGGUCCUUGACUCCCACAAGCUCAAAUCUCUCCGGACAAGUACACGUUCCCCUUUGGAUUGAGCGCGUGUGCGAAAAGUAGAACGAUUCGUGACGGGGCUCAGAUUCAUGGGUUGGUCGUUAGGAUGGAUUAUGCUAAGGAUCUGUUCGUGCAGAACUCGUUGGUUCAUUUCUACGCGGAGUGUGGAGAUCUUGUUUGUGCGCGGAAUGUGUUCGAUGAAAUGCCUCAGAGAAACGUAGUUUCUUGGACGAGUAUGAUUUGCGGUUACGCGAGGCGUGGUUUUGCUAAAGAAGCUGUUGAUUUGUUUUUCGAGAUGAUGAGAAGUGAAGACGUGAGGCCUAACUCGGUCACGAUGGUGUGUGUGAUCUCCGCUUGUGCUAAGCUUGAGGAUCUUGAAACAUGUGAAAAGGUUCAUGCUUUUAUCAGCAGUUCUGGCGUUGAAGUGAAUGAUGUUAUGGUUAGUGCUCUGGUCGAUAUGUAUAUGAAAUGUAAUGAUAAUGAUACAGCAAAACAGCUUUUUGAGCAAUACGGUGCGAGGAAUUUGGAUUUGUCCAACGCCAUGGCCUCGAAUUACGUACGCCAGGGGUUAACGAAGGAGGCUUUAGAUGUCUUGAGUCUAAUGAUGGACUCUGGUGUUAGACCUGAUAGGAUUUCAAUGUUGAGUGCUAUUUCAUCUUGUUCACAACUGAAGAACAUUCUGCUGGGAAAGAGUUGUCAUGGAUAUGUUAUGAGGAAUGGGUUUGAAAGUUGGGAUAACAUAUGUAACGCCCUGAUUGAUAUGUACAUGAAGUGUCGGAAGCAAGAUACUGCGGUUAAGAUGUUUGAUCGGAUGUUGAACAAGACAGUGGUCACGUGGAACUCAAUAAUCGCUGGAUAUAUUGAGAAUGGUGAUGUGGAUGCAGCUUGGGAAACAUUCAACACCAUGCCUGAGAAGAACAUUGUUUCUUGGAACACGAUCAUUGGCGGUUUGGUUCAAGAAGGCAUGUUCGAGGAAGCGAUUGAAGUUUUCCGGUCUAUGCAAGGCCAAGAGGGUGUUGAUGCGGAUGGAGUGACAAUGAUGAGCAUUGCAUCUGCUUGUGGGCACUUGGGAGCUCUUGAUCUUGCAAAGUGGAUAUAUUACUACAUUGAGAAGAACGGGACUCAGCUUGAUGUCAGACUUAGUACCAGUUUAGUGGAUAUGUUUUCCAGGUGUGGGGAUCCGGAAACAGCAAUGUCAAUAUUCAAUGGUUUAGCUAACAGAGAUGUCUCGGCUUGGACAGUUGCUAUAAGAGCAAUGGCUAUGUCGGGAAACGCUGAGCGGGCCAUAGAGCUUUUCGAUGAGAUGAUUGAACAAGGUUUGAAACCAGAUGGGGUAGUGUUUGUUGGAGCAUUGACAGCAUGUAGCCAUGGUGGAUUGGUCCAACAAGGUAAGGAGAUCUUCGAGUCAAUGAAGAAACUUCACGGAGUUUCUCCAGAAGACGUGCACUAUGGAUGCAUGGUUGAUCUGCUUAGUCGAGCAGGAUUGUUAGAGGAAGCUAUGCAACUCAUAAAGUCCAUGCCUUUGGAGCCAAACGAUGUGAUUUGGAACUCUCUUUUAGCCGCUUGUCGUGUUCACGGCAAUGUGGAGAUGGCUGCUUAUGCAGCUGCAAAGAUACAAGUCUUGGCUCCAGAGAGAACUGGGAGUUAUGUGCUUUUGUCAAAUGUUUACGCAUCAGCUGGAAGAUGGAACGAUGUGGCAAAAGUGAGGCUGAGUAUGAAGGAGAAAGGGUUACGCAAACCACCAGGAACUAGUCUAAUAGAGAUUCGAGGCAAGACUCAUGAGUUCACAUCAGGGGAUGAGUCACACCCGGAGAUGCGGAAAAUAGAAGCAAUGCUCGAUGAAGUUAGCCGUGAGCUAGGCCAUGUACCUGAUCUCAGCAGUGUUCUGAUGGAUGUAGAUAAGCAAGAGAAGAGAUUCAUGCUUAGCCGACACAGCGAGAAACUUGCAAUGGCCUUUGGUCUCAUUAGCUCAAACAAAGGCACAAGAAUAAGAAUAGUCAAAAACCUGAGAGUAUGUUCUGAUUGUCACUCAUUCGCAAAGUUAGCAUCCAAAGCGUAUGACAGAGAAAUCGUUCUAAGAGACAAUAACAGGUUUCAUUUCAUAAGUCAAGGCAAGUGUUCUUGUAAUGACUUCUGGUGAUUACAGAGAUGAAAGAAAAAAGCAUUCACAUUACAUUGUCUAAAAUUAAAAUAGAGAAUGACUUAGAUACAAAAAAGGUGUUUAUGAUUGUGAUAACUUGGGAAUGAUUGGAUCAAUCAACAUGUGAUACGUAGGAUCAGAACCCCAAAGCUCAGCAAUCUGAGGAUGAGAAGAAGUGAGCCGAUGAAUCUCCUCGACGAGCCAGAUGGUAGCUUCAGCUUUAGAAGGAUGAAUGAUCAAAUCCAAGCUCUGAUCUUCAGAAUCACUACCCAGUCUCGCUUGAUCCCAACGCUGUAACAAAGCGUUCGUGAGGUAAUGCAAAGGCUGACCAUAAAGCUCCUUGAUCGACAUGGCUAACCCGACCCAGCUCGUGAACGGGAUCAAAGAACCGCGGCUAGUCGGAAGAGGAAGCUCCUUCAUGUAGCCUUGAUACGUC